Molecule: long non-coding RNA, 1027 nt
Filed under: Felis catus (domestic cat)
Lineage: Eukaryota; Metazoa; Chordata; Mammalia; Carnivora; Felidae
Description: lncRNA (ENSFCAG00000047153.1)
Source: RNAcentral
AAGCAACUGUUUCAUAAUACUAUAAAUCUGUCACUCUAAAUGAUGUUGAUUAUCGUGAAAGUACACGGCAUUUAUUCAAAGCAUAUUUAUUGUGCAUCUACUAUAGGCUGAAGUAUGAGGUUUUGAUUGCAUACAGUUUGGCUGCUGCCCCCACCCUCACCUUUCUAUUAAUUGAAAGCUAUCUUAACUCUUUCUGCAGGAUUAAUUCUUAGAAUGUCAGCAAAUUCAACCCAUCACCCCUCUGAAUACAUUCAUCUUCCUACCAGGGUAGCAAGAGUGGAGAGAUUUCUUGAUGCAAAAUGCCUGAAGUCCUGCUAUUGCAUUAGCCUUUAUGGUUGGGAAUUGGACGAUUCACCAGAAGCACCGAGGGAUCAAAGCAGAAGGUGAAUGCCCCGAGUCUGAGAGAGCGUCGGAUGCAUGAGGAGAAGCAAAGGCAAGUUUUCUGUGAAUGCCAAGUGCACGUUCCCUUGGGUAGAAGGGAGGACAGCUGUUAGGUUGCUCCCUGAUGGAGUUAAUCUUGACAAGCUUUUUGGCAGUUGUUUCAUCUUUAUGAUACCAUAAGAUAAAAAUAGUAAUCUCUGUUAGAGCUUUACGGUUUUUUAAAUGCUUCAAAUUACAUGACUUUUAAUAGCCUAUGCUCACAAUCACCCUGGGAGUUAAUGCAUUUUUAUUGUCUGGGCUGAUCUGGGACAAGUCACAGUCCCCUCCACUUUGUUCCUAGCCAUCACCACUUCGUGUGAUCCUGACCCUAUUGUUCCCUCCAUUAAGGCCUGACUUGUCUCUGACCCUUGCCUCUGACUCCCAUUUACUGGUCUGCCUUUGCUCUUUGAACUUUUCAAAAUGCUCAUGGGUGCACAGCCGGACUCCAAGUCCUCCAAAUACUUGAGGCGACUCAUCCAGUACUUUCCACUUUUUACCACCAGCCAAGUCCCCCCAUUCUCCCUAUCCCUCACCCAGGUAAUUCUCUUCUUUACCCAUCCAGUGGGUGAGAAAUAAACCCAAUUUCCUGAUUGCCUAGUAUUCUAGC